UGGGGAAUUUUGGACAAUGGGCGAAAGCCUGAUCCAGCAAUGCCGCGUGUGUGAAGAAGGCCUUCGGGUUGUAAAGGCACUUUUGUCCGGAAAGAAAUCCUUGGCUCUAAUACAGUCGGGGGAUGACGGUACCGGAAGAAUAAGCACCGGCUAACUACGUGCCAGCAGCCGCGGUAAUACGUAGGGUGCAAGCGUUAAUCGGAAUUACUGGGCGUAAAGCGUGCGCAGGCGGUUUGCUAAGACCGAUGUGAAAUCCCCGGGCUCAACCUGGGAACUGCAUUGGUGACUGGCAGGCUAGAGUAUGGCAGAGGGGGGUAGAAUUCCACGUGUAGCAGUGAAAAUGCGUAGAGAUGGUGGAGGAAUACCGAUGGCGAAAGGCAGCCCCCUGGGCCAAUACUGACGCUCAUGCACGAAAGCGUGGGGAGCAAACAGGAUUAGAUACCCUGGUAGUCCACGCCCUAAACGAUGUCAACUAGUUGUUGGGGAUUCAUUCCUUAGUAACGUAGCUAACGCGUGAAGUUGACCGCCUGGGGAGUACGGUCGCAAGAUUAAAACUUAAAGGAAUUG
This 567-nucleotide ribosomal RNA is filed under the name uncultured bacterium. RNAcentral's name for it is "partial 16S ribosomal RNA". It matches the Rfam family "Bacterial small subunit ribosomal RNA", at positions 355 to 912 of the family's 1533-position model. The record is from RNAcentral.